Molecule: ribosomal RNA, 487 nt
Filed under: uncultured bacterium
Lineage: Bacteria
Description: bacterial SSU rRNA
Rfam family: Bacterial small subunit ribosomal RNA
Source: RNAcentral
GAUGAACGCUGGCGGCAUGCCUAAUACAUGCAAGUCGAACGAGAGGAAGGAAAGCUUGCUUUUCUGAAUCUAGUGGCGAACGGGUGAGUAACACGUAGGUAACCUGCCCAUGUGCCCGGGAUAACUUCUGGAAACGGAUGCUAAAACCGGAUAGGUAGCAGACAAGCAUUUGACUGCUAUUAAAGUGGCUAAGGCCAUGAACAUGGAUGGACCUGCGGUGCAUUAGCUAGUUGGUGAGGUAACGGCCCACCAAGGCGACGAUGCAUAGCCGGCCUGAGAGGGCGGACGGCCACAUUGGGACUGAGACACGGCCCAAACUCCUACGGGAGGCAGCAGUAGGGAAUUUUCGUCAAUGGGGGGAACCCUGAACGAGCAAUGCCGCGUGAGUGAAGAAGGUCUUCGGAUUGUAAAGCUCUGUUGUAAGAGAAAAACGACAUUCAUAGGGAAUGAUGAGUGAGUGAUGGUAUCUUACCAGAAAGUCACGGCU